UUUAAAAUUAAUUGGUGGGACACAAUUGUAUUCUACACAUUCAUACAUAAAUGUAAUUCAAAAAAAGGGCCAUCAGGAAUAUAAGUUGUUAUUCAAGCUGUUGAAUAAAUAAGAUAUAUCCAAUUUGUUUUACAGAUAUAUGCUAGAAAUUUCUUACUUCUGUUGAGCCAGUUUUCCUUUGCAUUUGUAAUGUAUGUCACAGCACCAAAAAGUAAAAGGUUGUUUGAUAUACAGUAUCAAAUCAAAAAUAAUAACAUCAUGUCUGAAGGAAAAAGAAGAGAGAAAAAAGACCAUUAACAGAAUCCUUCAAGUUAUUGCCCACUUACCUAAUAAUAAUAAUACACAAGUAUGUGAUAGUACUUUGUACAAAGAUGAAGACAUGGGUAACAAUUAUUUUGAUGUACU
This 405-nucleotide long non-coding RNA is filed under the name Cicer arietinum (chickpea). RNAcentral describes it as "long non-coding RNA (CARI_LNC000276)". The record is from RNAcentral. Lineage: Eukaryota; Viridiplantae; Streptophyta; Magnoliopsida; Fabales; Fabaceae.